UACGGGGGGAGCAAGCGUUGUUCGGAUUUACUGGGCGUAAAGGGUGCGUAGGCGGCGUGACAAGUCACUUGUGAAAUCUCCGGGCUUAACUCGGAACGGUCAAGUGAUACUGUCGUGCUAGAGUACAGAAGGGGCAACUGGAAUUCUCGGUGUAGCGGUGAAAUGCGUAGAUAUCGAGAGGAACACCUGCGGCGAAGGCGGGUUGCUGGGCUGAUACUGACGCUGAGGCGCGAAAGCUAGGGGAGCGAACGGG
This 253-nucleotide ribosomal RNA is filed under the name uncultured bacterium. RNAcentral's name for it is "partial 16S ribosomal RNA". It matches the Rfam family "Bacterial small subunit ribosomal RNA", at positions 524 to 776 of the family's 1533-position model. The record is from RNAcentral.